This 584-nucleotide ribosomal RNA is filed under the name uncultured bacterium. Its description in RNAcentral is "bacterial SSU rRNA". It matches the Rfam family "Bacterial small subunit ribosomal RNA", at positions 116 to 716 of the family's 1533-position model. The record is from RNAcentral.
CAUGGAUAACCUACCCUGGGGAUGGGCAUAGCCGUUCUAACGAACGGGUAAUACCCAGCGAGUCGACGGGUCGGCAUCGAUCUGUCGGGAAAUGAAUUUCGCCUCGGGAGGGGUCCAUGCGAUAUCAGCUAGUUGGUGGGGUAACGGCCCACCAAGGCUUAGACGUCUAGCGGGUGUGAGAGCACGACCCGCGCCACUGGCACUGAGACACUGGCCAGACACCUACGGGUGGCUGCAGUCGAGGAUCUUCGUCAAUGGGCGCAAGCCUGAACGAGCGAUGCCGCGUGAGCGAUGAAGGCCUUCGGGUUGUAAAGCUCAAAAGGGGUGAGAAAGGGAAACUUGAUCGAACCCCAGUAAGCUCGGGCUAAGUUCGUGCCAGCAGCCGCGGUAAGACGAACCGAGCGAACGUUGUUCGGAAUCACUGGGCUUAAAGGGCGCGUAGGCGGGUGCUCAAGUCCGUGGUGAAAUCCUCCGGCUCAACCGGAGAACUGCCUCGGAUACUGGGCGCCUCGAGGGUGGUAGGGGUAUGCGGAACUAUCGGUGGAGCGGUGAAAUGCGUUGAUAUCGAUAGGAACUCCGGUGGC